Salmo salar (Atlantic salmon) is the source of this 2717-nucleotide RNA transcript. RefSeq lists it as uncharacterized. Lineage: Eukaryota; Metazoa; Chordata; Actinopteri; Salmoniformes; Salmonidae. The record is from RefSeq and is a predicted model, not a curated record.
AUAUAUAUAUAUAUAUAUAUAUAUAUAUAUAUGCAUGGUUAAGGGAUUGCGCAUGCGCAGUGUGUAACAGUGAGAGCAAGCAAUUAACACUGGAGAGCUGUUGAAAUCCAGCGUGGGUCCAACGGUACUUUAGAUUGGUAAAUAAUACUUCACUCUUGUACUGUAAUAUAACAUAGUUUGCAUCAUCUGCAGUGUAUAAGAGUUUGUUUGUAAUAUUUAUGCCAGAUGGUCAUGUUAGCCUGUUGAUACUUUCAGAUUGACAUGAGGAAGUUAGCUUCUUGCCAGCUGGAUAUCUGUGCUCAAAAGAACUACGUUGUGGAGUUGAUGAGAACAUUAUUUGAAGCGCCUGCAGUAUGGGUGAGAUGAGGAUCUCCUGUUCCAUGUGGGGUUAGGGUAUCACGUGGACAGUGUGUUUCUCUGCUGCUGGCCACUGGAGGAGCUCACUGAAGAACACCUGAAGACAUUUCAGUCUCACCUGACUAGUGGCUGGAUGUUAGUCUUUCCUCUCAUCCCAGAGAGCCACCUGGAAAACACUGACAGACAGGUCACAGUGGAUCAGAUGGUGAAGAGAUACGGCCCUGAGAGAGCUGUGAAGAUCACAAUGAGGAGGAUGACCUGGGUGAUCUUGCUGAGAAGUUAGAGAGAGAGAUCACAUGAAGUAAUUACAGGUGUUGUUCCUUGUCAGGAUGUUGAGUAUUUCAAAGAGUCCCAGCUUCUUCACUUUUUUUUUUGAAACGUUUGAGUAUUUUCAUGAAUGAAAGAUGUUCAACUGCCCUGAACAAGAUUGUAAAUUAAUUUGUUCAUUACCUCAUUUGUCAUUGCUAUUGUAGUAUAUCAGAGAAAGCUCAAUGUCCUCUUUUGGGAGAUUCUCAAAUUGGACAAAACUCUGCCGAAAAAUAAUAGUAAUUACUAAUAAUGAUAAUAGUACAGAGAACGGAGAUUGCCUCCUGCAGCGGAGGAUGCUCAGGUCUAUCCUCUUGCAGCGGAGGAUGCUCAGGUCUAUCCUCUUGCAGCGGAGGAUGCUCAGGUCUAUCCUCCUGCAGUGGAGGAUGCUCAGGUCUAUCCUCCUGCGGAAGAGUUCUGAAAUCAGCCCUUUGAAACAGCUGUUCUCUCAUAAGAGAAAAGAAUUCAUACCUUUGAAAACGAUAUGUUACUUCUCCAUUUAUCUAUGAAACAUCUAGCACAACUAACUACAUGUAAUUUGGGAUUCCACCCCUGUAAAUGUAAUUUGCCUGAUGACACGCUAGGGGAGGAGUCGCAUUUCAUACAAGCGCAUUUGUUUCCACAUUCCCUCUUCAAUUACAUUGGACCUUUUUCUAAAGGAGAGUAUGCGAGUAAUUGAGGGAAAUCUGAGUUUGUUUCUUUCCUAGAUGGUGGAUGUGACUUCCUGUCUGUAGCCCAUGUGACUGAUGACAAAGUGGAGUUUCUCCCUCCCCAUGAGACAAUACACACAUCAUAAAAACAUCACUGGAUCCUCUGCUUAUGGUGAUGUCACGGAUGAUGAUGCUCCCAUCUCCGCUAUCCACGGGCUUCUGUUAUUCUACCAACUGUUUCUCUGAAGAGAGGUCCAUCCUGAAUGUGUUGUUACCACCCUGAUCACAACAUUUCUGGGAAGCAAGCAUGACUAAGAUUUUCAAAUCCCACUUCUAUCUGGAUGGAAUUCCAUCAAGCUGGCAGUAUCAAACCCAACAUAGAAAAAUAACAUUUUCUCUGUGCCACAAGAAUGCAUUGUGACGGCCCUGAAUUUUCCUGAACCGUCUCAGUGCUUCUCCUUCCAAUAGGGCGCUUUCCCUUUAAUUCUUAAUUAAAUCGUGCUUCUCCUUCCAAAAGGGCGCUUCCCCUUUAAUUCCCAAUUAAAUAGUCAGCAACAGCUGCGCAAAAGUGGGGUUGUGAUGGAAACGUGAAUGAGGAUGUGUUCAACCCUCAGUUCUGAAGCGUCUCUCUUCCGUUUGUUGUGUUGCUUUAAAAGUGUGCUUUGUGUAGCCUAAUAGCAAAUCUACCCAGGAUCGGAUCCACUCUUGCGUCCGUGGACUACACCUCUCCGUUGUUUUUCGUGGCCUUUCUCCCGCUGGAGAUCUGUCGGCGGAUUGGCUUGUCUGACUGACCACAACCUUUUUGAAUACGAGACCCUCCAUGUUGGAUGUUCCAGCUCUGCUAAUGACCACUCUGGAGGAGCUCUGGAACAGCUGAAGACAUUUCAGUCUUACCUGAGUACGUUCCAGCUGCCUGACUGUCCUUCCAUCCCAGAGAGUCAGCUGGAGAACACUGACAGACAGGACACAGUGGAUCAGAUGGUGGAGAGACAUGACCCCGAGGAAGCUGUGGAGAUCACACUGAUUAUCCUGAGAUUCUCCUCUCCUCCUGGACCCCAAUGAUCCCACUGUUGGACAGGCCUUCACCUUGCCAAGGAACCUAAGACCACCCAGACCUUUGAUAGGCUCUCUAACUUGUCCAUUAUCUAGCCAAGGUUCAUCUGGAGUGAAGAGUGAGGAACGUGUCAGAGUGUCUGACAGCUCACCUGAGGCCAUGGACGUGUUAAGCAUCACAGAAUGUAGAAUAGUGGACCAGAGCCUGAGUACUACUGACCCUCCCAUGAGAUCUCCUGAGAACUUUGAACCAGAUGUCUAUGAUCAUGAUGGCAAGGGAGCAUAUCGGUUCCAGUGCCCCAGUGCAGGUCUGUUCCAGUGCCAUAUUUCCAUAUUUUAUUUGGAAUGGUA